CAGUCGACGGCAGCACGGGCUUCGGCCUGGUGGCGAGUGGCGAACGGGUGAGUAAUGCAUCGGAACGUGCCCAUGUCGUGGGGGAUAACGUAGCGAAAGCUACGCUAAUACCGCAUACGCCCUGAGGGGGAAAGCGGGGGAUUCUUCGGAACCUCGCGCGAUUGGAGCGGCCGAUGUCGGAUUAGCUAGUAGGUGAGGUAAAGGCUCACCUAGGCGACGAUCCGUAGCGGGUCUGAGAGGAUGAUCCGCCACACUGGGACUGAGACACGGCCCAGACUCCUACGGGAGGCAGCAGUGGGGAAUUUUGGACAAUGGGGGCAACCCUGAUCCAGCCAUGCCGCGUGAGUGAAGAAGGCCUUCGGGUUGUAAAGCUCUUUCGGCCGGGAAGAAAUCGGCGACUCUAACAUAGUCGCUGGAUGACGGUACCGGACUAAGAAGCACCGGCUAACUACGUGCCAGCAGCC
RNAcentral lists this ribosomal RNA (464 nucleotides) under uncultured bacterium. RNAcentral describes it as "bacterial SSU rRNA". It matches the Rfam family "Bacterial small subunit ribosomal RNA", at positions 59 to 516 of the family's 1533-position model. The record is from RNAcentral.